This 616-nucleotide ribosomal RNA is filed under the name Hyphodontia alutaria. Its description in RNAcentral is "eukaryotic LSU rRNA". It matches the Rfam family "Eukaryotic large subunit ribosomal RNA", at positions 62 to 654 of the family's 3401-position model. Lineage: Eukaryota; Fungi; Basidiomycota; Agaricomycetes; Hymenochaetales; Schizoporaceae. RNAcentral also lists the same sequence under 1 other name. The record is from RNAcentral.
AAACUAACAAGGAUUCCCCUAGUAACUGCGAGUGAAGCGGGAAAAGCUCAAAUUUAAAAUCUGGCAGCAUUGGCUGUCCGAGUUGUAAUCUGGAGAAGCGUUUUCUGUGUCGGACCGUGCACAAGUUUCCUGGAACGGAAUGUCAUAGAGGGUGAGAAUCCCGUCCAUGGCACGGAUCCCCGAUGCAUUGUGAUACGCUCUCAAAGAGUCGAGUUGUUUGGGAAUGCAGCUCAAAAUGGGUGGUAAAUUCCAUCUAAAGCUAAAUAUUGGCGAGAGACCGAUAGCGAACAAGUACCGUGAGGGAAAGAUGAAAAGCACUUUGGAAAGACAGUUAAACAGUACGUGAAAUUGUUGAAAGGGAAACGCUUGGAGUCAGUCGCGUUGGCCGGGAUUCAGUCGCUCCUACCCGAGUGGAUUACUUCCCGGUGAACGGGUCAACAUCGAUUUCGAAUGACGGAUAAAGGGGAAGGGAAUGUGGCACCUUCGGGUGUGUUAUAGCCCUUCUUUCGCAUACGUCGAUUGGGAUCGAGGAACGCAGCACGCCUUUAUGGCCGGAGGGCUUGCUCUCACGUAACGUGCUUAGGAUGUUGGCAUAAUGGCUUUAAGCGACCCGUCU